ACAAGCGCGUGGAGCAUGUGGCUUAAUUUGACUCAACACGGGAAAUCUUACCGGGUCCGGACAUACCGAGGAUUGACAGACUGUUAACUGCAACACAAGCUGCUAAGUUUUAAACUUAAUAGCUCUUUCAUGAUUAUAUGAUAGGUGGUGCAUGGCCGUUCUUAGUUCGUGGAGUGAUCUGUCUGCUUAAUUGCGUUUCAAAAUUUAAACCUGAGCGACAAGGUGCUGCUAUCGAAACUGUCUUUGAGUGUGAACUAUAAGUCUUUUGACUUAUGACCAUCACUCUAGACGUUUAUGUUUUGGUGUUGGCCCUUGAUGCUCAUUUGAACGCAACGGACGUGAUUGCAACCCCUUGUUGAGAUUUAUCCGAUCUCUACGUUCACUGAACCACACUCUUUAGCGAGAGCAGUGGGGAUGUGGAUAAACUCGGGGGACUGCUGACUAUAAACUUUUCUCAAACCAGAGGAAGGUUGCGGCAAUAACAGGUCUGUGAUGCCCUCAGAUG
Molecule: ribosomal RNA, 505 nt
Filed under: Globigerinoides ruber
Lineage: Eukaryota; Foraminifera; Rotaliida; Globigerinidae
Description: SSU rRNA
Rfam family: Eukaryotic small subunit ribosomal RNA
Source: RNAcentral